This 469-nucleotide ribosomal RNA is filed under the name uncultured bacterium. RNAcentral's name for it is "bacterial SSU rRNA". It matches the Rfam family "Bacterial small subunit ribosomal RNA", at positions 31 to 507 of the family's 1533-position model. The record is from RNAcentral.
GGAGAACGCUGGCGGCGUGCUUAACACAUGCAAGUCGAACGAGGUCCACCGCGUAGCAAUACAAGGGAAGACCUAGUGGCGAACGGGUGCGUAACACGUGAGGAACUUGUCCCGGUCUCUGGGAUAACAGUUGGAAACGACUGCUAAUACCGGAUGACGUCGGAAUCUCGCAUGGGAUACUGACGAAAGGGUUACUGGAUCGGGAGAGCCUCGCGGCCUAUCAGCUUGUUGGUGAGGUAACGGCUCACCAAGGCAUCGACGGGUAGCUGGUCUGAGAGGAUGAUCAGCCACACUGGGACUGAGACACGGCCCAGACUCCUACGGGAGGCAGCAGUGGGGAAUCUUGCGCAAUGGGCGAAAGCCUGACGCAGCAACGCCGCGUGCGGGAAGAAGGCCCUCGGGUUGUAAACCGCUUUCAGCAGGAACGAAAAUGACGGUACUUGCAGAAGAAGGUGCGGCCAACUACGUG